AAUUGAAAGAGACUGAGAGAGACUCUGAUAAACAGAGAGAAAGAGCCCAUAGUUUCCGAUAAAAAAAAAAAAAAAAAAAAAAAAAAAUCCGCUUCCCAGUUCCUUUCAAAAAAAACUUUGUUUCCAGUUACGCUAAAACGAUCUUUUUGCUUUUUGAUUUUUCCAGAAAAAGAAGCAGAAGAAGAAGGAAGAUGAAAAACAAAAUCCAAAACUUAGAUGAGAAAGAAGUAAGCGAUCAGAGGUGCCAUCUCCGAUUCUCUCACACAAUGGCCACCGAUUCAUCAGACCAACAAUCUCAACCCUACUACUACUACUACAGAAGAAAACCUAAACAAACCCUAGACGACGACACCACUACUGCUGUCACGCCCAUCAGAUCGUCUCGAAGAAGAAGAAAAGGAAGAACCAACCGAUGAGGCUUCUGAUCAGCCUUCUGUAACCACCGUCGAUUCCGAUGCGAAGUUCGGCGAGGAUUCAAAGAGCACUAUAGCCGCUGCCUAUAGCAGGGGAUGUUGUUGAUGUGGAUCCGGCUUCCAAUCGUUUCACUCCGCACUCCAAGUACAAAUUUAGAAAAGUUACUGGAUUCUCUAAUAGGAGAAUUACCGUUGGGUUCUCUACAAUAAAAUGAAAGAUAAAUGGUGAAGAUGGCAUUGAGAUUAGUGACGGCAUGGUGAAGAUCGGUGUGUGGUGGUUGUUAAGAUUAGCGUUGAGAUUGAUGUGCUGUUUGUGGUGAUUGUUGAGGUGGGUUUGCAUUGGUUUUUUUUUUGGUUGGUGAGUUGUGGUUGUGGGUUGUAGUGGGGUUUCUUUUGGUGAUGGUUGUUGUGGCGGGUUUUUAUGGCUAGUUGUUUUAUAUUAUUUUAAGAGGUUUUUAUAUAUUAUUUUAAUGGGUAAUAUGCUAAAACAGUAGAUUAGAUGUAGGGUAUAUUGUUAAGUGGUAUGUUAAAAAUAUAAAAUAGAUAAAGUAAUUUUUUGGUGUGUUAAAGUUGCAUAAUUUUUUAUCACACCAGAUGCUAAUGCUCUAAGAAGGACUAAAGGUGACAUGCAAACUUAUAGAACCAAAAUGACAAAAAAUAAAACGUAGUGGACCAAAAUUACACUUGAAAAAUCUCCCUCAGGAAUACAUGUGGUUAGAUUUGACAAAUCUUGUGUGUGAUGAUUUGGGCUUUUUAAAAAAAAAAAAAAAUUUAUUUUUAUGGAAGGAGAAAAAGGGACUCGUAGCUAUGAUCACUGCCCUUAGCCUAUACAUAAAUCUGACUCAAGCAUAGUGUGGGAUAACCUGUGCAAUAGUAGAGUUUGCCACUGGCGUCGGAUAACUUGGAAGCUGGGGUUUGACGGUGGGUUUUGGGUUUUUUAUUGAGUGGAUGACCAAAAGAGGCAUCAACGUGUAUAAGUUAUAACUUAAGAAAACUCUUAUUCAAUUUCAUUAGAUUUUAGUCGAUAUUAUUCUUAAAA
Molecule: long non-coding RNA, 1452 nt
Organism: Quercus robur (English oak)
Lineage: Eukaryota; Viridiplantae; Streptophyta; Magnoliopsida; Fagales; Fagaceae
Exons: 3
Source: RefSeq, a predicted model, not a curated record